Molecule: ribosomal RNA, 616 nt
Filed under: Escherichia coli
Lineage: Bacteria; Pseudomonadati; Pseudomonadota; Gammaproteobacteria; Enterobacterales; Enterobacteriaceae
Description: bacterial LSU rRNA
Rfam family: Bacterial large subunit ribosomal RNA
Source: RNAcentral
CUGGAGGUAUCAGAAGUGCGAAUGCUGACAUAAGUAACGAUAAAGCGGGUGAAAAGCCCGCUCGCCGGAAGACCAAGGGUUCCUGUCCAACGUUAAUCGGGGCAGGGUGAGUCGACCCCUAAGGCGAGGCCGAAAGGCGUAGUCGAUGGGAAACAGGUUAAUAUUCCUGUACUUGGUGUUACUGCGAAGGGGGGACGGAGAAGGCUAUGUUGGCCGGGCGACGGUUGUCCCGGUUUAAGCGUGUAGGCUGGUUUUCCAGGCAAAUCCGGAAAAUCAAGGCUGAGGCGUGAUGACGAGGCACUACGGUGCUGAAGCAACAAAUGCCCUGCUUCCAGGAAAAGCCUCUAAGCAUCAGGUAACAUCAAAUCGUACCCCAAACCGACACAGGUGGUCAGGUAGAGAAUACCAAGGCGCUUGAGAGAACUCGGGUGAAGGAACUAGGCAAAAUGGUGCCGUAACUUCGGGAGAAGGCACGCUGAUAUGUAGGUGAGGUCCCUCGCGGAUGGAGCUGAAAUCAGUCGAAGAUACCAGCUGGCUGCAACUGUUUAUUAAAAACACAGCACUGUGCAAACACGAAAGUGGACGUAUACGGUGUGACGCCUGCCCGGUGCCGGAA